Molecule: transfer RNA, 86 nt
Filed under: Xanthomonas phage RiverRider
Lineage: Duplodnaviria; Heunggongvirae; Uroviricota; Caudoviricetes; Schitoviridae
Description: tRNA-Tyr
Source: RNAcentral
GGAUCGGGUUAUCAGAUGGGCGCUGAGGCAGACUGUAAAUCUGCCGUCUCAGGACUCGCUUGGUUCGACUCCAAGCUGAUCCACCA